CACAGUAGCCUCCAUCACCGACAGUCAUGGCAUCCACCGCAGCUGCGGCCGCCGCCACGUCUUCUUUCAUGGGAACCCGUCUCCCGGAACUGCAUUCCAGUUCUGGUCGAGUCACGGCCCGGUUUUCCUUCGGAAAGAAGAAAGCAGCACCUAAGAAAGUGUCCAAACCCGUCACAUCCGACCGGCCGUUAUGGUAUCCAGGUGCAAAAGCGCCGGAGUAUCUCGAUGGAAGCCUGGUUGGAGACUACGGGUUUGACCCAUUUGGUCUAGGUAAACCCGCUGAGUAUCUUCAGUUUGAUUUGGACUCAUUGGAUCAAAACUUGGCUAAGAACUUGGCUGGGGACGUGAUCGGAACCAGGUUCGAGAAUGAGGACGUGAAGUCGACUCCUUUCCAACCAUACACCGAGGUGUUUGGGCUUCAGAGGUUCAGGGAGUGCGAACUGAUACACGGGAGAUGGGCUAUGUUGGCUACCCUUGGUGCGCUUGUUGUUGAAUCGGUGACUGGUGUUACAUGGCAAGACGCUGGAAAGGUACCAUAUAUAUAUGUAUAACCUAAUCUGUAUCAUUUAUCAAUCAUAAAAACAAAAGAGCUCAUUAACUAAUCUUUUUAUUUGACAUUUGCUUUCUUUUAGGUGGAACUAAUCGAUGGUUCAUCUUAUUUUGGACAACCGUUACCCUUCUCUAUCACUACUUUGAUUUGGAUCGAGGUUUUGGUUAUCGGAUACAUUGAGUUUCAAAGGAACGCUGAACUGGAACCUGAGAAAAGACUCUACCCAGGUGGUCCAUUCGAUCCAUUGAACUUGGCAGCUGACCCUGAAAAGAAAGCUGUUCUUCAAUUGGCGGAGAUCAAGCAUGCUCGUCUUGCUAUGGUGGCGUUUCUUGGGUUUGCUGUCCAGGCUGCAGCCACCGGAAAGGGCCCGCUCAACAACUGGGUAACCCAUUUGAGUGACCCGCUUCACACUACCA
RNAcentral lists this long non-coding RNA (966 nucleotides) under Lactuca sativa (garden lettuce). Its description in RNAcentral is "long non-coding RNA (LSAT_LNC005965)". The record is from RNAcentral. Lineage: Eukaryota; Viridiplantae; Streptophyta; Magnoliopsida; Asterales; Asteraceae.